This 307-nucleotide unclassified non-coding RNA is filed under the name fungal sp. RNAcentral describes it as "partial internal transcribed spacer region". The stretch from base 1 to 46 matches the Rfam family "Eukaryotic small subunit ribosomal RNA", at positions 1786 to 1831 of the family's 1831-position model. The record is from RNAcentral. Lineage: Eukaryota; Fungi.
AAGUCAUAAUAAGGUUUCCGUAGGUGAACCUGCGGAAGGAUCAUUAACACGUAUCCAAACGAGUGAUUCAGAGACCUCUGGCUACGUGCGAACAUUGGAACAGUUACAAUCGAGCGGUAGUUCUAUAGGCAAUGUUUCCCCAAGCAGUCAGUGUCGGAAAGUGUCAUUGAUUGUGCAAUGAUAGCGCUUCUACGAUUCCUGUAGACCGUACACUCGGGCAGAGCUUUGCCAAAGGGUCCCCAUGCCCCAAUGUAAUACCUUGUGUAAAAAAACCGAACAACUGUUACCAAUGGAUAUCUUGGUUCUC